AAAACUAGCCAGUCUUUUGGGUAUGAAAUCCAUUUGGACGAGAGUAGUACUAGGAUGGGUGACCUCCUGGGAAGUCCUCGUGAAAGGGUUUC
Non-coding RNA from Triticum aestivum (bread wheat), 92 nucleotides. NCBI's taxonomy places the organism in Eukaryota, Viridiplantae, Streptophyta, Magnoliopsida, Poales, Poaceae. The record is from Rfam.